Parasteatoda tepidariorum (common house spider) is the source of this 1109-nucleotide long non-coding RNA. The record is from RefSeq and is a predicted model, not a curated record. Lineage: Eukaryota; Metazoa; Arthropoda; Arachnida; Araneae; Theridiidae.
GCUGUUCAACGACGGUUAUAUAUAUAUAAAAAAAACAUAUACAUUAAUUCGAAAUAUUUAAUUGAUCAAAAACUACGAGUAAAAUCAAAACAUGAGUAAAAAUUUUAUUUGGAACGAACCAAAAACUUACAGUUUUAAAGAUGGAAAGCUAAAUUUUUCUUUUUUUACUAGGAUCGACAUUCUAAUACUUAAUUGUUUAGUACUUAGUUAAAUUAUAGUUUAAAUAAGCGCCCCCACACAAAUGGUGAAAAAUGUUUUUGUUUUCCAUUACUAGACCCCUUAUGAGUAUUUUCCUAAAGUUUCAAAACAAAAUAAUUUUUUUCCCAUUAUUUUUCUGAAUUUGAAUAUACUAGGAGUCACUGAAAGUUUAACUGUAAUAUACGUUCCUGUAGGUUUUUCAUUUUAAUACUAUUCUCAUUUGAUUGAUUGAUUACAGGAUGCAAUGGGUUCUUGGUUUCAUGAUAUUAGUGCAACAGAAGCACAACAUCGCUUAUUUAAGUUGCAUCAAAAUUACAUCGAUAAAUUAUUAUUUAUCGAUGUAAUUUCAAAUUAGUUUUAGAAUAUAACGUUAAAUCUAAGCAUAUAUUGAUGUUUUAAGAAUUCUGGAAUAUACCAAACAAAUUGAGGUGUGAAUGCAAACAAAGUCUUAAAAUGGUGUUUUAUUAACUUAUUUUUCAUUUUAAUAUUAUUCUCAUUUGAUUGAUUGAUUGAUUAUAGGAUGCAAUUCUUCGGAGUUCUUGGUUUCAUGAUAUCAGUGCAACAGAAGCACAACAUCGCUUAUUAAAAUUGGAUCAAGAUGGGGCAUUUUUGAUUAGGCCUACUUCUCGUCCAACAGAUAUCGUACAGUAUACUGCUAUGAUCACAUAUGCUGGCCGAGUAUUUAAUAUUCACAUACGACGCAAAGCAAACUAUUAUUUUGCUCUUGGAAAAGAAAAAGAAGGCGAGAAGAGUUUUCAAAGACUGUCGGAUUUAAUCAAGUACUAUCAAGAUGUACCUUUUGAUAUACAUCCUUCUGGAAGCUCUAAUGCACAAGCCAUUUGUUUUCGAGUAACUCCCCCUCAUUCAAAUGUUUAAUUUUAAGUAUAUUUUUAAUAAAUUUGAAUAAUUAA